RNAcentral lists this ribosomal RNA (301 nucleotides) under uncultured bacterium. Its description in RNAcentral is "partial 16S ribosomal RNA". It matches the Rfam family "Bacterial small subunit ribosomal RNA", at positions 509 to 809 of the family's 1533-position model. The record is from RNAcentral.
CAGUAGCCGCGGUAAUACGGAGGGGGCUAGCGUUGUUCGGAAUUACUGGGCGUAAAGCGCACGUAGGUGGCUUGGUAAGUUAGAGGUGAAAGCCCAGGGCUCAACCCUGGAAUUGCCUUUAAGACUGCCGAGCUAGUAGGUGAGAGAGGUAAGUGGAAUUCCGAGUGUAGAGGUGAAAUUCGUAGAUAUUCGGAAGAACACCAGUGGCGAAGGCGGCUUACUGGCUCAUUCUAGACGCUGAGGUGCGAAAGCGUGGGAAGCAAACAGGAUUAGAUACCCCUGUAGUCCCUGUCUCUUAUAA